This 537-nucleotide ribosomal RNA is filed under the name Cryptosporidium sp. HGC-2014. RNAcentral describes it as "SSU rRNA". It matches the Rfam family "Eukaryotic small subunit ribosomal RNA", at positions 334 to 902 of the family's 1831-position model. Lineage: Eukaryota; Apicomplexa; Conoidasida; Eucoccidiorida; Cryptosporidiidae. The record is from RNAcentral.
GUAUGGCCUACCGUGGCAAUGACGGGUAACGGGGAAUUAGGGUUCGAUUCCGGAGAGGGAGCCUGAGAAACGGCUACCACAUCUAAGGAAGGCAGCAGGCGCGCAAAUUACCCAAUCCUAAUACAGGGAGGUAGUGACAAGAAAUAACAAUACAGGACUUUAAUAGUUUUGUAAUUGGAAUGAGUUAAGUAUAAACCCCUUUACAAGUAUCAAUUGGAGGGCAAGUCUGGUGCCAGCAGCCGCGGUAAUUCCAGCUCCAAUAGCGUAUAUUAAAGUUGUUGCAGUUAAAAAGCUCGUAGUUGGAUUUCUGUUAAUAAUUUAUAUAUAAUAUUUUAAUAUAUUUAUAUAAUAUUAACAUAAUUCAUAUUACUAUUUUUAGUAUAUGAAAUUUUACUUUGAGAAAAUUAGAGUGCUUAAAGCAGGCAUAUGCCUUGAAUACUACAGCAUGGAAUAAUAUUAAAGAUUUUUAUCUUUCUUUAUUGGUUCUAGGAUAGAAAUAAUGAUUAAUAGGGACAGUUGGGGGCAUUUGUAUUUAAA